Vigna unguiculata (cowpea) is the source of this 87-nucleotide small nucleolar RNA. RefSeq annotates it as small nucleolar RNA snoR114. Lineage: Eukaryota; Viridiplantae; Streptophyta; Magnoliopsida; Fabales; Fabaceae. The record is from RefSeq and is a predicted model, not a curated record.
GAGCUAUGAUGAAACUGUGUUCUCUGUGAUGGUUGUGUCUAUCACACUCUUCUGAUCUUUCAGACGAAUCGUGACACAUCAGAGCUC